This 34431-nucleotide long non-coding RNA is filed under the name Lynx pardinus (Iberian lynx). Lineage: Eukaryota; Metazoa; Chordata; Mammalia; Carnivora; Felidae. The record is from RNAcentral.
GCAGUGGUAACCUUUAGUUAUUAUUUAAUAGAAUUAUGCUAAUGAGAUAAAGCAAACAUGAUGAUGUCUGUGGUUGUUUGCUUGUCUAAUCUAAAAGAUAACAUGCUUUUGCCAUUUUACUCUUUGUCUACAGUGAAUCUUUAAAGAAAUGAAGAGACGAAAGGUAGGAAAAAAAAGUUCAUUUUCCUGUUGUUAUCAGGUUUGGUGGGAAAGAAUGUUAAAAAUCUAAGCAAAAGUUUAAAUCAGGAUGAUGAACAGAUUCAAUAUGUCCAUGCUUUCUCUUUCCCUGAUAGCCAAAAUAAUUAAGAGUUGGCUGUUUGACAUGCUGCAAAUGUCACAUUUAGUCAAUAGAAAACAGUCAUUAUUACUGUGCAGUGAAGUGUUUCAUGAGCAAAUGCUGAACAGGUAGAAAAAGGAAAUGGACUGUACUUUGAUGGAAACACUAAACCUAAUCCACAGUAGAAAUUGGCAAGUUAAGAACAAUCUUCUCAACAAAAUCGUUAAAAAAGGAACUGUAUGAUAUUUUAUUGUAUACCUUGUCUAGAUCACUUGGUUAAGUCUGGAGUUAUCGAAACACUAUAUUUAGAAAGUUAAAUUUUUGUUGUUGUUAGGGCAAGUGGAGAUAUUGUAAUUGAGAUGGUAUUAAUCAUAGAAGUUUUCUAGAAGGCAAGAAAGGGCAGAAUACCAUUAAUUCCACGAAUUGUAGAUCUUGUUGAAAGCAUACCAUCUUUCUUUGCAAAAUAUAUUUCCAUGAAAUCCAUACACAGUUCAUAGGAUGUGUCAAAUUAAAAGGCUUCAUUGUCAGCUUGGUUUCAGAUGGUGUACUUCAGUGUCAUUUGACAGAGAAUCUUGUUAAUUAUACUCUAUUUGACCAGACAGACCAAUACAAAAUUAUAAGUCAAAAUGAAAGUGAGGCCUUAUUUCUGUCAUCCAGUAAUUUGUGAUUUCUAUUUUUUUUUUAAAUAUCAAAAUUGAAAUGACUGCCAUUCGCUAAUUUUGUGUGCCUUAUAGUAAUACCCUCCAAUCCCCACUUAUAAACUGAGACUCAUCCAAAUUUAAUAGCAACAUUUAGGCAAACAGCAGAGUGACAUUUUCUGGGACUCAAGUAUUUCCUAGUACUGGGUCACAAGUCUUCAGUAUCUCCUUCCAAUAAUAAACAUAAAGCUAAUUUCCUGUUCUCUCCUGAGUGUGAAAUAUUUGUCACUCACUUAGCUGUUCCCUUUGGGCCAGAGGACCCAGCCUCAUUUAAAUGAGUCAUUUUGUGAGGUUCUGAAGCAAUGUGCUGGUGAAAAAAAAGAAAAAAAAACUGUUCUAAAAGGGUUGUCAUCAUGGUUUAUACAGCUAAUUGAUGAUGGCAAAUCUUAGUGCCCUCAAGAGGCAGACACUUGAGUAAAAGUGAGCAAAACAGAGCUGCCACAUCCACGGUUUUCAUGCAGCUUUCCAACGUGUUUGUUUUAAUAACCUAUUUUUUAAAAAGAAAUCUGUAUAAAAACAAUUUUUUUCUGAAAUACAAAGGCAAGAAAACCCAAAUUCUUUCUGACUUUGUAAGGUACACAAUGAUCUGAUAUGAUGUGAAACAUCCAGAAUAUUAUACGAAGUUGAAUUUAAGUAGUCCUUAGUGGACCUAGAGCUAGAGAGCCAGACCAUCUUUCUAUCUAUAGAUGUUUUAAUACAAAUUUUACUAUAGAAUUUAAAUACUUAAAAGGAUUUUAAGAAUGAAAAUAUGUGGGCAGAGGAUCUUCUUAUCCAGUGCAAAAUGGUGAUAAUAUGGACUCCAUGGUGAGGAGAGGGAGGGGUUGCUUCCAGGCAUCAUUAUCAUCAUCAACGCACGCACACACACACACACACACACACACACACACACACACCAUAAUGGAUUAAAUAGGUCUAGAGCAAGAUAAUUUAAGAUAGUUUACUUUUUCCAAAGUUAAAAUCCCUUCCAGUAUCUCCAACUGCACUUUCCUUUUCCCAUAGUUUCCUUAGAGUUGGCAUCUCUCCGGGCCAGACAAAACUGAUGGGUAGGGCUUGUCUUUGCAUUUUCUGAUUUGGUAUCAUAUUUUCCAGGCUUUCUUGCUGUCUCCACUGACAAGAUCUCCUCUUCUUUUUUUAUUUUUUUUAACGUUUAUUUAUUAUUGAGAGACAGAGAGAGACAGAGCAUGAGCAGGGGAGGGGUAGAGAGGGGAGGAGACACAGAAUCCAAAGCAAGCUCCAGGCUCUGAGCUGUCAGCACAGAGCCUGACGCGGGGCUCUAACUCACAAACUGCGAGAUCAUGACCUGAGCCGAAGUCAGACGCUUAAUCAACUAAGCCACCCACGCGCCCCAAGAUCUCCUUUUGUUUGAUGUUGUCUCUUGAGCCUGACAUCUUCAUCUCAGGCAACAUUCUAUUCUUCUAACUUCCGCCAGACAUUAUUUGUUCUGUGAGUUCUCUCAAAGUCCUCAAGGGUGACUGAAGACCAAUAUGGAGUACGAUGCUUGGUGCUAAGAUUUCAAAGGACACUUAUGCCUUGGUGUGUUUCCAGGCCUCUAUUUUAAAAGCCCAUUUGGGGCCAAAGUUUUGUAAUCCAAAGGAUUGAUUCUCAUAGCGAAAGUUGCAGAUCUGUGGCAAGAUGGGUCUUUGUUUCCUUAAAAUAUGCCUCCUACAUGAGUGCCUACUCCACUUGGUCUCUGGGAAGCCACCUUUCCUCCUACUUAAACAGUAACUCACACAGGCUCCUACCACAAUCUGGAAUACAUCUUCAGUGCAGGUGGGUGGAUUGCCUACUGCUUUUCUAUGGCAGGAGCUCUGGCCAGGGGCUUCUCAAGAAGCAUGACUCAGUGCUAACUUUAGUAAGAGGUCAUUGCUGACUCUGUAAAAUUUGCAGACACUUAAGGCAUCAGCUGUUUUCUUCUCUGUCUUAACAGCUUUAUCCUUCCUCGUGCGUAGUUUCAUAGAGGAGGCAUCAUCAGAAGCAGCUAAAGUGACAACAGUGGGUUAACCAGACAAUUUCAUACUAAAUCUUCCUUUUCCUCUAUGGCAGACUCUUUUCCAAGUGUGGAGUUGCUGUACACAGGAUAGAUGAUCUCUUAAAAUCUUGGAGAGAACAUCUUUCAACUGUGUUUGUGGGGAAUAAACAUGACACAGAAAAAGAAAAUCUGGGACACUCUUCUUUCUUGACUGCCUGGUUGCCUGACUUCCAAAAACCAGUUGGAGCUAUAAAUGUUAAAUUUGGCUUAAAGAAGUCCUCAGUCAGAAAUACUACCCUGAAUUUCAAAAAGGAAAAAAAAAAUUAAAACUUUUAUUAAAAGUUAAUAGUGGUUAAAUUUACAAGUCUGUGCGUGUGUAAAUUCAACACUUCAAUCUGCUAAUUUGCCAAGGCAUAAUUUACUCACAGUCCAUAAACAGACUGAGGUGCUCAGAGAGAAUCAUGUGGUCUUCUCAAAAUUUAUGGAAGAUGGAAAGAAUCAGUUCCCACCUUCAGGGAGUUUGCAGUCUAAGAGGUAAAAAAGAUCAUGAUGUACAAUUUGUAAGCAGAUACUAGUAUAAGCAAUCUGGCAAAUAUUGAGGGGCUUAAUUAAGAAUUAGGCUUGCAAGUUGGGGCUUCUUGUAUUCUGAGAUGGGUUGUCUGAAUUAUUACUUUAAUCAUGGGAAGGAUUUGACACUUUUAGUGGACGAGCUGACAGCUGUUUCCAUGAUUUGAGCUCUUUAGAAAGCUGUAGGCUCCAGGAGCCUGUGGAUUAUUGUAGAAAAGUGAAGCUAAAGCAGAUUUUAUGGGAGUAGGAGGGAGGAGACGCAGAGAUUGUAGACGUCAAGGACAUAGCGGUUCAUAAUUUACAACCCAGAUACAAAAGAUCUGAGUUUGUUCUCGGGAGAUUUUAGAGAUAUUUAAAGAGAAUGGGAAAAAUUUCUCCUCUUAGGAAGGCAGUGCGUAUUUAUUAUAGAAAGCUUGUAAGCUCUAGAAAGGCAAACAUUAGAAUAAAAGUUUCUUCUGAUCCCACCAAAGGCAACCACUAUUAGUGUAUUGAUAUUUAUCCUGUACUUUUUUUUUCUAUACAGAUAUUUCAUUUUUCUUUCAUUUGAAUGGUAUCAUUCUUACAAAAUGUGCUUUUUGAACUUCUUUUUUUCAUUUUACCCUGUCUCCUGAACAUCUGAAAAGAGAUUUCUGAGGAAAGGGAUUUGAGAUCAGCUGAAUAGGAAAGGAACUAAAGAGACAGCAGCUGGUAACAAAGAAACAGCAACGAAAAAUGUCUUACAGUCCACUGGGAACAUACAUGCCAGGGUGGAUCUUAUUAUUUUAUUUUUUUUUUCAAAGCAUUUAAUGAGUCAAUGUCUAGAGGUCAGCAAAGAUUUGGGAAGCAAAGACUGAUUCAGGUCUCAGCUCCUUCCCUUACCAGCUAAGUGCCCUUGACAAAUUCCUAAACAUCCCUGAACCUUAGAUUUAAGAACAUUAACUGCACAUUUUAUUCUGAGUCAGUCUACACUCACAUUCUUAUCAUCACAAUAACUUUGUUGGGAGGGAAUCAGUAACCGUGCUUUCCAGGUGAAUAAUUAGCAGCUUAUAGGGCUAUUAUUUUUCAACACAUCCCAAGCUGCAAUCCAGUUCUCUUUCCCCAGCAUUCUGGGAGUCUCUUGACCUCUUCUCUUGUCUCAUGGGGGAAAAAAAGGUGCUAAGAUUAUGUGUGCCCUUUACCUCAUUGUGAGUUGUGAGGAUAUAUAACCUAAUGCACGUGAAACCUUUUUUUUCUUUUUUAAAAUAAUUCUUUUUUGCAUAUGAAACUUUUUGUAAGCUGCUAAGCACAGCAGAUAAAUUUCAUUCUCUUAGGAUCUUAAAUACUAUUUCAAACUCUCCACUUGAGUGCGUGCUCUGAUCUCUCUGUAACCAAUGCUUCAGGCAUCUGGAUCUGUGUAGUCCCAGAGAGGUAUAUUCAGGUUACCUGAGCACGAGCUUUACCUGGCAUAUGAGUAUGCAAUGGCCCUUUCAUUUCUCCCUUUUCCUCAACAGCUGUGCAUUGCGACUCAGUAAAAGCUGGUGUCAGCCUGCAUACCGAUGGCCAACCCAAAAUUUCAACAAGUUAAGACAUAGAGUCUGUUGCAAUGUGGACAAAAAUAAACCACAUUCCACACCAAGUCCAGACACUUUGAAGAAAUCUAAAAUGAUUUUUAAAAUAUUGCUUUAGAUAAAUAAAACUUGAGCUAGUAAAGGAGGCCGUUUCCAGAUGUCCAGCCAGGAAACCCCAGGUGCAAGUGAAUCAGCAGACGUGUCGUCUCAUCUGAGACGGUGCAAGAUCCGUGUGUCCACACGCAGCCAGGGUGUGGCUGAGCUCGUGGCCCUGCCUUCCUUCAGAUGUGGCCAGGCUUGGGCUGAUUCAGGGAGAAACACUGCUCAUCGAGUCAUGAGGCUGUUCUGGAGCUUUGCUGGGCUUUGCUUGGGUAACUUGCCCAGGAUCCACAGUCCAGACCUGUAGCUGAGUCCAAAGUGACAGAGCAGGUGGUCUCCUGGGGGUGAUGGGGGUGGUGGCAGGGGAGGUGGGGCUGGGGAGUAGCAAGAUACUUUUCAAAAGGUUCAGUCAGUGCAGGGAGGUUUUGGAGAAGAAUUUAAAAUUCAUCAGACUGACCUAAGAACAGACACAAAUACGAGGGAGAUUUAUUAAAGGCCCUCAUCUCUGUUUCCACUUGGCCACUUUCAUCAGGUAGAGGCACCACUCCAAGGUGAUCUUCCAGCUCACUUGAACAGCUGAUUUAUAUUUUAUCCUUGUGAAAUUUCCCUUUAAAGUCUGACGUGCUCUUGGCAGCUCAUGAUCUACUGAACUGGUCCAUUCAUUCGGGCCAGUCUGUCUUUUGGUGAAUAGUUAACAAGCUUUCUGGUGUCAGAUGCUAUGGUAGGCACUGGGCACACAGUGAAUAAGAGACACUGACUCUGGGAUGUUGUAGUAAUUUUCUGUUGUUGUACAACAAAUUACCACAAACUGGCUAAACCAGCACUCAUUUAUUAUCUUGCACUUCUGUAGAUCAGAAGUCUGGGCAGGGUCCUCUGCUCAAGGUCUCACAAGGCUGCAAUCAAGGUAUUGGCCGGAACUGCUAUCUCACCAGAGGCUUUGAGUUCUUCUCCAAGCUCCGUGGUUGUUGGCAGGAAUCAGUUCCUUGCAGCUGUGAAACUCGUAGCUUGCAUUUUUUAAGGCCAGCAGGAGAGCGUUUAGGGAACACCUCAGUGCUCUUCUAAAGGGCUCAUCUUUCAGUCCAGCCUGCCUAGGAUAAUAGCUCUUUAAUUAAAUGAAAGUCAGCUGAUUAGGGACCUUAACUACAUCUAGAAAAUUCCCUCACCUUUGCCAUAUGACGAUGCAUAAUCAUUAGGGUGAUGUCCCCUUCUAUUUACAGCUCCUGCCCACACUCAAGGGGAGGCGAUUAUACCAGGCUUGUAUAUCAGGGUGUGAGAAUCUUGGGAGCUAUCUCAGAAUGCUAUCUACCACAAAUAUUAAAUAGGAAAUUGCAGGGAAAAAAUAUUAAGCAAUUAGGACCGGGCAAAAUUCUGCAAAGGAGAAUUAUGGGCUCCUACCAGAGUAAGAGGGGAGCACAGCCUCCUCUGAGGGGCUGGGGAGACUACCUGAGACCUGCAGACGGGCCAGCAUCAGCAAGGCCAACAUGGAAAUGGGUGGUAAAAGGGAGGGAGCAGAGCUGGAGUGAGAGGAGAUGAAUGGGUUAGUAAUGGAGCCCUGAAAACAAAGCAAAGUAAAAUCAAAGUGAAUCUCUGGCCUGCCCUAUUAUUCCCAGAAAGUGAAGUUGAGCAUUUUCCAUAUGAUAGAAAGCAGGCAACAGAUGAAAAUGUCUCCCCUUUCCACUGCCUGGAACCCAGGGGUGUCUGUCUGUAGCAGGGUCUGGGUUUCUCCUGCAACAGGGAUGUGAGGAGCCACCAAAGAUCAAGCUCAAUUCUAGGAGGAGGUAGCAUUGAGCAGGUUUAGUGCAUAUUUUUCAGUCUGGCAGAAAUAUCUGUAAGCCUGAACUUUUGGGUGGUUCCAUUAAUUCCAGUGCUGAAUUAGAAAACUAAAGCAUCUUUUGUAUGUCUUUGAACACUAAGACAGCCCUCUGAUCAGAGUAAAUGGAGAAAAGAACUUUAAAAAUGCAUAUAUUCAAUUUGGAAAUCAGAAUGCUAUUGUCAGCAGUCUGACAAAACUAACAGAUGGGAAGAUUCAUGCCCACCCCUUAAUAAAUAUGUGCUGAUUUUGGCCAAGAGUUGUAAAAUCCCACAAGGUCUCUAAUGUACGCCCUCCCCUCUCAUCCCAAUCAGCCAAAUUCAACUUGUUUGCCAAAAUAGGGGGAAAAAAGAUGAAAUGACUAAAAAUGACCCCAAAACACAUGAGAACCUAAGAUGCAUGCCAAAUUUUAAAAUGGAGAGGGUUUUCAUUUGAUUAAAUUAUAGGUCUCUUUUCACCAAGCUCCCUUUCUGUAAUUUUUAAUGAAAUGUCUUCUACUGGAAAGACUCUGGAAAGAUGAAUUGGAAUACACAUGUUUGAGAACUAAACUACAAAAAUUAUACCCAUGGACCAACUUUACCAGAAACUUCAAUGGAAGACAAACACACCACAGAGGUAGUAAAUCCCUCUUCCUCUCAAAUAGGGAUUAUAGAAUAAUCCCUAUAUCAAAUAUAUCAAAUAUACCUCCAUGUGAAAAAAAGGCUUCUGUGCUAGGAGAAUGAUAAAAUAGCCCUGGGCCAUAGUUCUUCCAAAACCCAAAUGGCCUGUCUCUUCUUGUGUCUCACAAUGUCACUUUUCCUUUGGACAAGUGGCCCAGACCUUUAUUCCCCACCACGUCUUCUUCACUGACCUGUGACAUGGGGGUGAACAGACUAGAGACUGAUUCUUAGAAGCAUCUAGGAAUGGCCAUCUAAGAGUCAGCAGGCAGCCUCUCUUCUUCCAAUUGUGUUGCGAUGACUAAUUCCUAAACACAGGGUUAUGAGUCACCCCCAAAUUCCCUGAGACCCUGAUGACCAUGUUAGGUAGGCACAGAGGAGAGACUCUGAGACUCAGCUCAAAUCUGCUGUUAUUCUGCUAAUAGUUCUGCUAUUAUUUGAAACGCCGUUUAUAGCAGGCAGUGUCCUCGUGUUGAUAUUGCAGGCACUAUUUUCUUCUUUCUCCUACCAGUGGACCCCAUUUACUAAGGUUUUGUUUCCCUAACUCACCUGAUCAUAAAAAUUCCUGGGAGUUGUUCUCAGGAUUCUCUUUUGGAGACUCUGAUUUAGAGAUUGGGUCCAGGGAUCUGUAUUUUUAACAGACUCUCCUGAGGUAUUCUGAUAAUCAAGUGAAUAUGAGAAACAUCCUACCAGGGAUGUUCAACUGAGUAAAUUUCCAUUCUUUUGCUUCCCCAAUAGGAUUUUAUGGAGAAACAUUUGUUAAAAAUGUAUUUAUUCAUUUUGAGAGAGAAAGAGAGAGCACGAGCAGGGGAGGGGCAGAGAGAGAGAGAGAGAGAGAGAGAGAGAGAGGUGGAGAGAGAACUCCAAAAGCAGGCUCUGCACCAUCAGCACAGAGCCCGACACGGGGCUAUAACUCAUGAACGGUGACAUCAUGACCUGGGUCGAAAUCAAGACUUGGACGCUUAACCGACUGAGCCAUACAGACGCCUCUAUAGAGAAACUUUUAAGAGGAAAAGAGUUCCAAGAUGGGAAGUUUAUGGCCCAUAGAAUAAAGUUAGAAGUAGGAGGUACCAGCUAUUUGUUUUGUUUGAUGGGCGUGUCUGAAUCAUAGAUCUGCUAACAAACUUAACUUCCCAUGCAAUCAGCUUCCUAGCUAUAGAGUAAGCUUCUCAAAAAAUCUGUUAAUUCAUUCAUGCACUCAUUUGACAAGCAUCUCCUGAGCAUUUGGUCUGGGCCAGGCACUGAUCUUGGCACUAAGGAUACAAUGGUGAAAGACCUGGUUCCUCCUUAGGGCACUCAUACUCUGAGUAAAUUUUAGUCUUUUCUCAAACCGUAGUCCCAUAUAGUACCAAUAAAAAUAUCGUGUCCUUUUCAGAUAACACCCUGGAAAGCAUAUUGUAGAAUCACACAUGUGCACAAUUCACCUCUUCCAGAUAUUGAUUGAAUGCCUAUCAUGCAUCAGAUUCUGUUAUAGGUACUUAGGGUACACCCGUGAACACAACAGGCAAAGGUCUCUGCCCUCAUGGGUCUGACAUUCUAGGGGGAGGAUGAGACAGUAGAUAAUAAACCUAACAAAUUCACAUCAUGUAAUGUAAGGGCAUUAGUAUUAUGAAAGAAAAAAAUUACUCAAGGAAACAGCGAUUAGGUAUGGGAGGAGGUAGUCACAAGAAGGCUCAUUUUUGGAGCAAUGUUUUUAAAAAGAUUUGAAGAAGGUCAAGGAUUUUGCUGCACACAGUCUGGGAGAAGAGCAUGUUAAGCAGAGCAAGCAGCAGAGCAAAGACACUGAUCAAGGAGAGACCUGGUGUGUUUGAGGAGGAGCAAAUGAGAGAUUGCCAUUGAGGUAAUACGGACAGGGGAGUGGUAAGAUCAGCUAAGGCAUCCGAGGCCAUUUGGAGUGGGAUGGGGACACAUUGAAGGGUUUUGCGCAGACUGGCAUGAUGUGACAUGUUUUAAUAGGGUCACUGAUGUGUUGAGAUUCAAUUGUAAGGAGACAAAUGUGGAAAACAUCAGAAAACCAUUUGGAGAGCAUUUGGCAGUAUCUAGAUCUGGCAAAACUGAAAAUGUGAAUACCCUAGAACUCAGUAAUUCCAGGUUCUCUAGGAGAGAACCCGUCUCAAUGUACACAAGGAAAUAUGUGCAGGAAUAUUCACUGUGGGAAUGUUAGCAGUGACAAAAAAUCAAAAUAGGCUCAAUGCCCAUCAAUAGGAAAAUGAAAUUUAUAAAUUAUAGUAGCUCAUACAGUGGAAUGCUAUCGAGCAAUUAAAAGGAAUGAACUAGAGUUAUGUUGUCAAGGUUGGUAUAUUCCUUAAACAUAAAAUUGAGCAAUAAAAAUCUAGUUGCAGAAGGAUAGUUACAAUAUGAUGUCAAGUUUAAAACACCACAAUACUAUUUAUUUUAUGGCUAUGUACAUACUUAGUAAAACAUUUAGAAUAUCAAUUGAAGACUACCCAUUUCAUGAAAAUAAUUGCAUCUGGGGAGGGAGGGAGGACAAAGAGUUUGGGGAAAGGUAUAGAAAGAAUUCCAAAUAUAGUGUCCAUCUUUCCUUCCUUCCUUCCUUCCUUCCUUCCUUCCUUUUUCUCUCUGCCUCCCCCCACACCUUCCUUCCUUCCUUUCUUUCUUUCUUUCUUUCUUUCUUUCUUUCUCAUUUCUGAUUAAAAAGACUCAUGGGGGGGCGCCUGGGUGGCACAGUCGGUUAAGCGUCCGACUUCAGCCAGGUCACGAUCUCGCGGUCCGGGAGUUCGAGCCCCCUGUCAGGCUCUGGGCUGAUGGCUCAGAGCCUGGAGCCUGUUUCCGAUACUGUGUCUCCCUCUCUCUCUGCCCCUCCCCCGUUCAUGCUCUGUCUCUCUCUGUCCCAAAAAUAAAUAAACGUUGAAAAAAAAAUUAAAAAAAAAAAAAAAGACUCAUGGGGCACCUGGGUUGCUCAGUCAGUUAAGCUUCUGACUCUUGAUUUUGGCUCAGGUCAUGAUCUCAUGGUUCAUGAGAUUGAGCCCUGCCUUGGGGAGCAAUGAGACAGCAUAAAGCCUGCUUGGGAUUCUCUUCCUUUCUCUCUGCCCCUCCCCGCUCAUAUGCUAUCUCUCUCUCCCUCUCUCUCUGUCUCUCUCAAAGUAAAUAAACUUUGUAAAAAAAGACUCAAACUUUGGAAAAUAUUAAAACUUCUAUAUGUUUCAUUAAAAUGGAAUCCAUAAAAAUCAAUAAAAUAAAUAACAAACAGAAAUAUUUUAUUAAACUAGAGAAUAAAGAGUUUAUUCACUUGACAAUUGAUUUCUAUCUCUCUCUCCAAAACAGCAUGCAUAAUAUUUAUGCAUUCCGUGGAGUUUUCAUUUUGCCUGUAUUUACAAUCAAAACUGUAAAUUUCCUGUAAGGAUUCUUUUAAAAAACAUCUUUCUACCUAGAGAAUAUGUACUAUUCUUCUUAAUAUUUAAUGAUCUUUACAAUAUUUGAGGUGCACGGCAGCCAUCUGAGUUAAAAACAAUGCUUGCUGACAUGUAACUGGAGCAGAAGGUUUCUCCAGCCAGGCCCCCUGGGUUUUUGGACCUGCAGUCACCCAUGGGAAUGGGCAGUUAGUGGCCCCAGUCUCACAGGCUCAGGUGAUUUUUUCCCUCUACUGUUUGUGGAAACAGGCUGGGAGAUUCAGGAUCCUUAACUAUUAUUUGGAUAGCUGUAAUGAUAUUAGCAGAGGAACAACUUGAGCAAAGUGUAUUUUAGCAAGUGACAAGUGUGUUUGCUGUAAUAUAUUGACAAUAAUUUUUCUUCUUCUCUGUCUCUCUUUUCCUCCUGCCUUUGGAGAAGAGGCUUCUUUUAAAACAAGUGUUCUCAUAUUGGAGCGUGUUAUGGCAAGGAGCCCAGAAGAGGUGGAUUUAGUGCACUGAAGUCCUGUUUUCAAUUAUCUAGAAUCCACGAAACCACAGGCUUAGGUUUUAGAUGGGCCAAUUUAAACGUUUGCCUUUCCAAUGUAAAUGUAUAAAAUAUAAGCUGUUCAGCAGUACUGGGGUCUUUCGCGUUGACAUGGGUCCCAUCUCUCUAGCAGAGCGCCUGCUGCAAGGGCUUAUCACAAAAACAGGUUUAUAGGGCCUUCAUUAAUAUGUCUGCAAGCUGACUAGACACUAGAAUGUGCAAUUCAUUUUUCUCUAAGCUAUUGCCCACCAUCUAUAUUCAAUUUAAUAUAUUUCAUUAUGCUAAUUUUGAAAAGAAGAUGAAUUUUUCUUCUUAUAAGUUCCAGCGCAUUUUCCAAAGACAAAGAAAAUCUGUUGCCGUUACCAGUGCUUUAUUAGAUUGUUGUAUAAGAAUUACCAUUUUAAUGUAGAAAUUUUCUAACUUGAGAUAGGAAAGGGAGUGGCACAAACAAUGGAAAGAUGAGAAAGCGAAAGGCAGAAAAAAGAAAAUCAUGGCUUGCAGAGCACUGAUGGAAGCAACCAUGAGUGGGUUUUCUGUUGGACCCCACCCAUGUCGGAGAAUCAAUAAGUUGGUCUGUGAUGGUAGUGGAACAUGCCUGAGCAAAACUUGACCUAGCUCUUUACUUGCAAAAAUGUCCGGUGUUGGGUCUGUGGAUUUGCAUUCUCUCACUCUCUCUCUCUCCCCCCACCACAAGUUUGUCAAGUUUCAUUUUAUUUUUUUUUAAGUUUAUGUAUUCAUUUUGACAGAGACAGAGAUAGUGCAAGUAGGGGAGGAGCAGAGAGAGAGGGAGAGACAGAGAAUCCCAAGCAGUCUCCUCAAUGUCAGCAUGGAGCUUGACACAGAGGUUGGAACUCACGAAAUCGUGAGAUCAUGACCUGAGCUGAAACCAAUAGUCGGACGCUUAACCUACUGAGCCAUCCCAGUGCCUCAUUCAAUGUUCAUUUUAGAUAAGCCUACAGGUAAGCUCCAUGGAAGCCACCAUAUUCAUUCAUGUUUUCUCUGGUAGUUUGGUAGUAGUUUGGGUCACAGCUCACCUAAAUCAUGUAAUAAGUCUGAGAGCAUCAGUUUCCUCACAUGUAAUGGAAGUGAUCAUGCUUAUCCUGUUGACUUCAGACCGUUGUCUGAAGAAGUCAGUAGGAAUGGUGAAACUACCUGUAAGUGCUGCUGUGAUAUUUACAUUCUGAGUUACAUUACUAUCAAUAAUAAAAUAACAAUUCAGACCUAAUUUAUCUCACUAGCACAAUGGAUGGCCCCAUGUCCUGUCGAAUAGGGUAGCCAUGAGCCAAUAUAGCCAAUAAAAUAGGAAUGAAUUAUAAAAGUAAAUAAUAUUUUAAAAACCCAGUUUCUCAGUCACAAUAGCUACAUUUUAAGUGUCAAUAGCUACUUUUUAGAUGGCAUAGAUAUUAGGACAUUUCCAUCAUUGCAGAACAUUUUGUGAAUAGCACUGAUCUAAAGUUUUAAGGCACUUUCAAUUUGCUUGAAUAUAGAACUACAUACAAGUACCCUCCUUUAUUAGCAGGCUGUAGCUAUGCAUUAGGGAAGAUUCUUUUUUUUUUUUUUUAACUAACUUUGAAUCUUAGCUAUGAUCCAUCUAAGAGUAAUUUAGAGCCCCAGCAAUCAUUUUUUUAAAGGUGAGUUUUCUGUAACUCAUUGCGACAAACACUGAAGUAAUAAAAUGUUCUAUACAUCAUAACAAAAUCAUUCUCUAGCCUUGUUCAGUGGAAACUCAUUUAAAUCUGAUUUACUGUGACUUGGAAUUUAAGACUUAAGAUGAUAUUAAUGAGCUGCUUUUGGUUACAUCAUCUUCGUGGAUUGUCAAAUGGAGCCUGCACUGAAGUCACUCAGGACAGGUCUGUUUUAAAAUAAUGAAAUUUACUGUUUCCAAGUAACUUACCAGAUAACACAACAGAUAGAUCAUGAGAGGCAUGAAUUUGGCAUUUCUUACCCACUGCUAGCACGAGCUUGGAUGAGUGUUUUGCAUAGUAGAGAAGCCUUAUAAGAGCAUUUAAGGAGAACCAACAUGGGGCAUGCUCAGUUCAUGGAUAACAGCCUGAAAUGCAGAGAUGUUUUCCUUGUCUCAUACUUAAGUACUGUUUAAUACAUCUUUAUUACCUUUUUAUAUUAUAAAUAUAUGAGGCAUCAGUCAUUUGUAAACAUUAUUUCAGGUUACAAAUUAAUAUCUUUGGUAACACAUGCCUUUCAUGUUUACCACUUACAUAUAAAAAAAUCCAUGAACACCGAUACAAGAUUUCUGACCUUUGUGCUUUGGCUCUAUAACAGAAAACUAAAUUACAAUAGGAGAAAGAUUCUCAUAAGGUCUUUAGCCAUUUGUUUAUUCUCACAAGAGAGUUUCUACCCCCACUGAAUCUAUGAUCUGAGAGUGUGAAGUCUAUGCAGUGAAGUCUAUGCAGAUCAUUGGGUCUUUGGGUCCCCAGAGGAGUCUUUGUGUCCCCUAGGUAGAAUGCACAAGGGACUUGAUGCUAACUUGUGGUGGGUGCUCCAUCCUGUCAAGAAGGCUGGGAUACCAAAGAAUUUAAUCAGGUUUAUAAAGAGAUGUUUGAGCCAGAGAAAAUAUGGCAGAGAAACAUAGGUAAAGGGGUAUUAUAGAAGAUUGUCUACACAGUGGGGGAAAAGCAAAUGCAGGUAAUGGUGUGAGAAAAUGAGUGGAACCCAUAAAGACAAUCUUCUUACUUCUUGCUAAAGAACGGGGUGCAAGAAAGAUAUAGAAAAAACUGAGGAAGCUGGUAAUCUUUUAUGAGAUGCUAUGUUCACAGAUGGAAAGAGAAGGCAGCACUGAGAAAGAAACUCAAGGUUGUGAAAACUUGAGAGACCAAAGAAGAGAACUAAGAAGUCAUUUUUGAAUACUGGCUAAUACCAAAGAUGAUUCACGCUCUUGGUGUUGAUGAGGAAAGGGAUAGAGGUUAAAAUCAGGGAUGAUUGUAGCCUUUUCUUCCUUUCCCCCUCCCUCCCUCCCUCCCUCCCUCCUUCUGAUUCUCCCUUCCUCCCUCCCUUCCUUCCUUCUUUACUUCCUCCCUCUCUUUCUUCUUUCUUACUUCCUCCCUCUUUCUUUUUUCUUUCUUUCUUUCUCUUUCUUUUCUUUCUUUCUUUCUUUCUUUCUUUCUUUCUUUCUUUCUUUCUUUCUCUUUCCUUCCUUCCAACACUUAGACCUCCUGGAUGUCAUUAAUCUUAGAAAAAGAGCAAUUUGAAAAUCAUCAGAAAAGAGAAUAUGAAAACUCUACCAUUUUCUUAGUGCAAUGGCAGUUUUUCACUAUUAAUCUGUGAAGUCUCAAAAAUUGUUCACUGAGUUGAUGAGGUAAGGGAAGGAAAGUGUAGUGGGAAACAAAGAUUCAAAUUUCUUCCAGUUAUUAUCAUGAGCAAAGGACUAAAGAGAUAUGUUUAGUACAGUAGAAACACUUAACAAAUGAUUUUGAUUCCAGAUCAACUAGGUUUAAGAAAAAUAGGAAAAACUGAGAUGCUCAAAUGAAUUGCUCAGUGUGUGGCCCCAGGAGGACAUGAGACCUCCUAAGUGGUUAUCUUAGUAUUUUUUUUAAGAAAACAUUUAAUAGAGAUGAAUUUCUCCUUGUCAAUAAGACAUACUGAAACAGAGAAAAAUUUUGAUCAAGGCAAAAUUAAAAGCACAAUAUUAAUCAUGAGGAUAAAACUAAACAUUUAAUGAAAUGUUACCUAACAAAUGUUAUAGUAAUAUGAUGAUUCACUGAAAUAAACUGAGUAGAUUCAAUUAUAUUCAAUUACAUUCAAUUAUAAAUAUAUUUUAUAAAUAUCUUAAGGCUCUCAUGGUGAUGUGAGAAAUCAAAAAAUUAUUAAUAAGAUUGUGGAGUAUACUUUUGGAAGAGGAGUUUUUGAGAUGUUUCUUUUAAUAACAAAAUGUGAACUAUUUUAAACUUUGAGGAAGUUCAAAGAAUAAUGUAAUGAAAAAAACCAAAGUAUAUAAUUAUUUGUAUUUUAAAAAAUAUAAAGUUUUGUUUUGUGUACUUUUGAUCUUUAUGUGAAAGGUAUGGGGGGCAUCUGGGUAGCUGAGUUGGUUAAGCAUCAAACUCCUGAUUUCGGCUCAGGUCACGAUCUCAUGGUUUCUGGGAUCAAGCCCCUGCAUUGGGCUCUGUGCUGAGAGUGCAGAGCCUGCUUGGAAUUCUCUCUCUCCUUAUCUCUGCCCCUCCCCUGCUCAUGCUCACUUUAUCAAAAUAAAUAAAUAAACUUUAUUUUAUAAAAAAGAAAUGGUACUGGGAGCACUAUUUUACAUACAAUUUUUUAUGGUCAACACUUUUAUUUUUUUAUUUUAUUAUUUUUUAAUAUGAAAUUUAUUGUCAAAUUGGUUGCCAUACAACACCCCGUGCUCAUCCCAACAGGUGCCCUCCUCAAUGUCCAUCACCCACUCCCCCUUCCCUCCCACCCCCCCCAUCAACCCUCACUUUGUUCUCAGCUUUUAAGAGUCUCUUAUGUUUUGGUUUCCUCCCUCUCUAACUUUUUUUUCUUCCCCUCCCCCAUGGUCUUCUGUUAAGUUUCUCAGGAUCCACAUAAGAAGGAAAACAUAUGGUAUCUGUCUUUCUCUGUAUGACUUAUUUCACUUAGCAUAACAUUCUCCAGUUUCAUCCACGUUGCUACAAAAGGCCAAAUUUCAUUCUUUCUCGUUGCCAAGUAGUAUUCCAUUGUGUAUAUAAACCACAAUUUCUUUAUCCAUUCAUCAGUUGAUGGACAUUUAGGCUCUUUCCAUAAUUUGGCUAUUGUGGAAAGUGCUGCUAUAAACACUGGGGGUACAAGUGCCCCUAUGCAUCAGUACUCCUGUAUCCCUUGGGCAAAUUCCUAGCAGUGUUAUUGCUGUGUCAUAGGGUAGAUUUAUUUUUAAUUUUUUGAGGAACCUCCACACUGUUUUCCAGAGCGGCUGCACCAGUUUACAUUCCCACCAACAGUGCAAGAGGGCUCCCGUUUCUCCACAUCCUCACCAGCAUCUAUAGUCUACUGAUUUGUUCAUUUUAGCCACUCUGACUGGCGUGAGGUGGUAUCUGAGUGUGGUUUUGAUUUGUAUUUCCCUGAUGAGGAGCGAUGAUAUGCUCAACAUUUUUAAAAAGAUUUGCCUUUAUCUUUCUCUCUCUCUCUACCUUUCUCCCCACUCUCUCUCCAUCUCCCAGCCUCUCUUCUCCCUACCUUUUUCUCUGUCUCUGUCUCUCUGUCCCUCUCUUCCUUGCUUAACUCCUAAUUCUGGCAGUCAGAAGUCUAGAAUCAAGGUAUUGGCAGGGCCAUGCUCUCUCUGAAGUCUCUAAGGGAGAACCAUCUUUGUCCUUCUAGCUUCUGGUGUUUGAUAGCAAUCCAUAGCAUUCCUUGGUGUGUAGACGGCACCACUCCAUUGAUAGGGAUAUGAUCUCCCUGUGUGUCUUCACAUUGUGUUUCUUCUGUGUCUGUUUCUCUGUCCAAAUAUUCCCAUUUUAAAAGGACACUAGGUAUGUUAUUAGGGACUGCCCUAAUAACCUAAUUUUAAUUUGAUUAUCUCUUCAAAGACCCUAUUUCCAAAUAAGCCUACAUUCUGAGGUACUGAGGAUGAGGCUUUUUUGUGUGUGGGGAGUGGGGGUAUACAUUUCAACCAUAACCGAUAGUUACUGUUUUAUUCUUAUUUUCUCCUUCCUCUUAUCUCAAUUUGGCAGUUGAUGGUUUUCUAAAAACUGGCUUUUCUCAACUAAGUUUUCCUAUUAUUAGCAGAAAAUUGUGAUUUUUCUAAAUCUCCAAUUUAAAUGUUAGAGUUUAUUUGUUCUUUCUUUGAUUUUUCUUGAUUGAUCUUGCCAGAAGUAUGUUUAGUUAAUUCAUCUUUCUAAAGAAUCACCUUUAGAUAUUCUUGACUUUCUCUUUAGUAUUUCUUUAUUUCAUUUUGGAGGAAAAAAACCAACCUUAACAAGAGUUCUCUUCUGGUGUAACUGACAUAUAAUAAAUUACACAUGUUUAAAGUGCAUUAUUUGAGAAGUUCUGACACCUAUUAUCUAUCUUCUAACUAUCAUCUCUCUAUUGAUCUAUUGAUCAUCUAUCUUUAUGUAUCUGUGAAACCAUCACUACAGUCAAGAUAACAAACCUAUCCCUAAAGUUACUUAAUGUUCCUUGGCAACCUUCCCUUCUGUCAAAUAUGCCAUUCCAGGCAGCCACUGAUCUGCUUUCUGUCAUAUCAGAAUAUUAUAUAAAUGGAAUCACACAAUGUGUACUCUUUUCGUGUAACAUAUUUCAAUCAGCAUAGUUAUUCUGAGACUCUUCAUGUUCUUUAUGUUCAAUAAUUCUUUUUAUGUGGAGUAGUAUUGCAUUACAUAGAUAUAUCAUUCACUUGUUGAUGGACAUUUGGGGUGUUCCUAGUUUUUGACUAUUACAUAUAAAUCUGGUAGGAUGUGUGAACAAGCUUUUUUUUUUUUUUUUUAACUAGCUUUAGUUUUCGUGGAGUGGUUUUAGAUUCACCGCAAAAUUGAAACAGAAAGCAUAGAGUUCCCAGAGUAACAUUUGUUACAUUGGUGAACCUACAAUGACAUAACAUUAUUACCCAAAGCCCAUAGCUUACACCAGGGAUCACUCUUGGUGCUGUACAUUCUAUGGCUUUUAAUAAGUACAUAAUGACAUGUAUCCACCAUUAUAGUAUCAUACAGAAUAGAUUUACUGCCCUAACAAUAAUCCCUUCCUAUGCCCAGGCAACCACUGAUCUUUUUACUGUCUCCAUGUCUUUUCUUUUCCAGAAUGCCAUAUAGUUGGUAUAAUACAGUAUGUAGCCUUUUCAGAUGGCUUCUUUCACUUAGUAACAUGCACUUGAGUUUCUUCCAUGUCUAUUUAUGGCUUGAUAGCUCAUUCCUUUUUAGUGAUGCACAAUACUCCAUUGUCUGGAUGUACUGCAGUUUAUUUAUCCAUUUGCCUACUGAAGGACAUCUUGGUUGCUUCCUAGUUUUGGCAGUUAUGAGUAAAGCUUCUAUAAACAUCAUGUGCAGAUUUUUGUGUGGACCUAAGUUUUCAACUCAUUUGGGCAAAUACCAAGGAGUGUGAUUGAUGAUCAUAUGUUUAAGUUUUUAAAGGAACUGCUGAACUUUCUUCCAAAGUGGAAUCCAUUUUGCAUUCCCACCAGCAAUGAAUAAGAGUUCUUGUAACUCCACGUUAUCACCACAUUUUGUGUUUUCAGUGAUUGGAUUUGGGCCAUUCUAAUAGGUAUCUAGUGGUGCAAGAGUCUUUUUGUGGACAUAUAUUUUUUCUUUUAGCUAAAUACCUAUAAUUAGAAUGCCUGGAUCAUAUGGCAGAUGUAUUUUAAAAAUUAAAAAAAACUGCCAAACUGUUUUCCAAAGUGGUUUUAUCGUUUAUAUCCCCACGAGAAAUCUAUGAGGGUUCCAGUUACUCCACACCCUUGCUAACAGUUGGUAUGACCAGCCUUCUAAUCUUAGCUCUUCUAAUAGGCAAGUAGUCGUGCCUCAUUGUGGUCUUAAUAUGCACUUUCCUCAUGCUCAUGAUGUUGAGCAUCUUGUCAUGUGGUUAUCUGUCAUCCGUAUAUUACAUUGGGUGAAGAAUCUGUUCAAAUUUGGUGAAGUGCUGCCCUGCCAGGAUUUUGAAUGGAAUUGUGUUGAGUCUAUACAUCAUUUUGGAGAGGAUUAAUAUCUGAAGAAUAUUGACUCUUUUAAUCCAUGCUCACAUCUCUUUUCAUUUAGAUCUUCUUUAAUUUCUCUCAGCAAUGUGUUUUAGUUUCCUUUGUGUUGAUCUUGCACAUCUUUUGUUAGACUUCUCCCUAAGUAGUUUAUAUUUUUGAGGCUAAUAUAAAUAGGAUUAUUUUUAAAUGUUAAUUUCUGAUUGUCUGUUGCUAACAUAUGGAAAUGCAAUUGAUUCUUUCUAAUAUAUUGCUUUGUUGCUUUGUUUACUUUCCUGCCUCCUGCUGGAUUGUUAGUAAAUUAUUUUCUUUGCCAUCAUCAUUAUUAUUUUAAAUCUGCUCUUUGGAAGCUAUAAAGUCUAUUCCAAUGUUUGUAUUAGUUUCGACUCUUAUAUUUUUAGCAUCUAUGUUUUGGGGCUUUAUUGUUUCUCUCCAGAAGUCUGCUGUAUGUCAGAUUAGGUUUCCUUUGUAGGUAAUCUUUUUUUUUCUGAUAGUUUUUCAUAUAUAUAUGUAUAUAUAUAUGUGUGUGUAUAUAUAUAUACAUAUAUAUAUACACACACACGUAUAUAUAUGUAUAUAUAUAUGUGUGUGUAUAUAUAUACAUAUAUAUAUACACACACAUGUAUAUAUAUGUAUAUAUAUACAUAUAUAUAUUUAUUUAUUCUGAAUAUUUUUAAGUUUAGCUCUUCUGCCUAGUAUAGAUUCAACACUACUCAUCCUGCUUGGUAUAUUACUUGCACUUUGAAUCUGAGGACUCAUAAUUCAGUUUAGGUGCAUUCCCGUCUUAUUUCUUCUCAUAGGGCUCUUUGCUAUUUCCUGUAUUCUCUUCCCAUAGAAUUUCUGUAAGAAGUCAUACUCCAUGUCAUUGUUCAUAAUUCUAAUCUUAUUCCUUCAUACUUCAUUCCUGGUGAAUUUCUCAGGGCAACCUUCCAACUCAGAAACUCUUUACCUAUGUUUAGACCUAUUGUCUUGUCUACUGGAUUGUUUUAAAUCUUAAUAACUAUGCUUUUCAUUUUCAAGAUUUCUUUUUUUAUAUUAAAUGUAAUUUAUUGUCAAACUGGUUUCCAUACAACACCCAGUGCUCAUCCCAACAGGUGCCCUCCUUAAUGCCCCUCUUUCCUCUCUCCCCCACCCCCCAUCAACCCUCAGUUUGUUUUUGGUAUUUAAGAGUCUCUUAUGGUUUGCCCCCCUCCCUCUCUGUAACUUUUUUUCCCCUCCCUUCCCCCAUGGUCUUCUGUUAAGUUUCUCAGGAUCCACAUAUGAGUGAAAACAUAUGGUAUCUGUCUUUCUCUGCCUGACUUACUUCACUUAGCAUAACAUUCUCCAGUUCCAUCCACGUUGCUACAAAAGGCCAUAUUUCAUUCUUUCUCACUGCCACGUAGUAUUCCAUUGUGUAUAUAAGCCACAAUAUCUUUUUUUUUCAAUAUAUGAAAUUUAUUGUCAAAUUGGUUUCCAUUCAACACCCAGUGCUCAUCCCAAAAGGUGCCCUCCUCAAUACCCAUCACCCACCCUCCCCUCCCUCCCACCCCCCAUCAACCCUCAGUUUGUUCUCAGUUUUUAAGAGUCUCUUAUGCUUUUAAGCCACAAUAUCUUUAUGCAUUCAGGCUCUUUCCAUAAUUUGGCUAUUGUGGAAAGUGCUGCUACAAACACUGGGAGUACAAGUGCCCCUAUGCUUCAGCACUUCUGUAUUCCUUGGGCAAAUUCUUAGCAGUGUUAUUGCUGUGUCAUAGGGUAGAUCUAUGAGAUGGAAAAACAUUCCAUGCUCAUGGAUUAGAAGAAUAAAUAUUGUUAAAAUGUCAAUACUACCCAAAGCAAUCUACACAUUCAACACAAUCCAAAUCAAAAUUGCACCAGCAUUCUUCUAAAAGCUAGAACAAGCAAUCCUAAAAUUUGUAUGGAACCACAAAAGACCCCAAAUAGCCAAAGUAAUAUUGAAGAAGAAAACCAAAGUGAGAGGCAUCACAAUCCCAGUCUUUAGCCUCUACUACAAGGCUGUAAUCAUCAAGACAGUGUGGUAUUGGCACAAAAACAGACACAUAGACCAAUGGAAUAGAAUAGAGACCCCAGAAUUGGACCCACAAAUGUAUGGACAACUAAUUUUUGACAAAGCUGGAAAGAGUAGCCAAUAGAAAAAAGACAGUCUCUUUAACAAUGGUGCUGGGAGAACUGGACAGCAACAUGCAGAAGAAUAAAACCAGACCACUUUCUUACACCAUUCACAAAAAGAAAUGUGAUGAAGGACACAUCCUCAAAAUGGAUGAAGGACCUGAAUGUGAGACAGGAAACCAUCAAAACCCUAGAGGAGAAAGCAGGAAAAAAACCCUCUUUGAUCUCAUUUUCAAGAUUUCUAAUUGGCUCUUUUUCUCAUUCACCUAUUGUCUUAUUUCUGUCUGUUUUGUUUCAUUAUUUCUGAUUAUUUUAUAAUGAUUGCUCAUAAUUUAUCAUUUUGAAGCAUUAAGCACACUAAUUUUCAGAUCUUUCUCUUCUUUCCCUGCUAUUUUAAUCUUACCUGGCUUGAAUUAAUCUCCCAGUAGUUGAUUUUGUUGGCUUGUCCUCAGCAUUUUAGUUCUUUGUGUAUUUGAGCAUUUUGGUUUAUAAGCUUUUCUCAUAUUAUAAGAUCUUUCUGUCUUCAUGCCAGUCCCACUACCCUCUUCCUUCUGAGGAGUUUUGUGCCUGCUUUCACGUGGUCUUCUAGGGCUUUUUAAUCCAGAACCAGUUUAGGGGAUAUUUAAGAUUUGAUUACCUAGCCAGACGUCUUGUCUGUUUGGUAGGCUGUAUUUGUGUGUGUGCAAAAGGAAAAUACCAAAGCAUAAUCUUAAGAUACCAUAUUGACUGAAAUUGUGUUUUUUGCGUGCAAAAUAAGUGGCCACUUCAAAGAGAACUCUUUUGGAGAAGCAAUGGUAUAAAUAUUUUCAGAAUCAAGUCAAUAUUCACAAGCAUAAAUGAAUGUUUUCCAAAAUUCUAUGGAAGUAAUUUUGUUUUCCUCAUGCACUAUCUCCAGAGAUUUUUAGAUUUUCAUUUACCUCUGCAGGAACAAGGUUUUCUAUUUAAGUCUUGGUUAUUUUGUUUUAAAAACCAUGGAUUAGAUAACUUAUUUAUUUCAAGGCAAUACUCAAACUCAUGGUAUUCAGUGAUGUGCAGGGUAGCCUAGUGAGAAGGUCAAUUACAAGUAUGUCAGGAGUUCACCAGAGUCUAUUUCUUGUGAGGAUUUCAACUGGAGGAUGGGACUGGGCAGGGAAAUAACUAUUGGAUAUUUUUGAUUUCCCCAUCAUCCUAGAAUUAAAGCCAGCACCUGACAAACAUACCAACAGAGUUCUGAAAUGGCAGUUCUAUGCAGGAAAAAUAGCAUGUAGGCAUAUUUAGAUGUCAGAUCCAUGAUGGUAGAAUUAUCUGCAAGGGAGGAGGGGCAGGCUUAUUUUAAUUCAAUUGCUUCCUUGGAAAAACAUAUUUGUCAAGAAUCAGUACUGUGUCCCUGACUGGAGAGUCCAGGGUAUUUUUCAUUGAUUCCAUAGCUGGAAAACUCCCAAGUGUGGGCUUAGGGCCACCAAAACGAAUAAUUUCACCUAAAGUUGGAUUGUCCUUGCUCAGUGAUAAUUCCCUCCGGAAAAGAAAAGUAGAAUUGACACUGCUUGCUGAACCACCCAAUGCUAGAUCCAAAGAAAUACAGAAACUUGAUUUUUGAACACUUUCAUCUGAAUUUAAGCCUCUUGGGUGAUACAAUGGAAAACAACAUUUCUUUACAGUGAAAAUGCGUCUGGCAGCUCCUCAAUAUACAAAGUUCAACUUUAGGGCAAAGAAAAAGAAACAUUCAUUAUGUAAUCAGGUCAAAUUAUUGGUUACUAAGAAGAGUUCCCAAUUUAAGUCUCAUCUAUUAUAUGAAGUAGAUAUUGAGUCUUCUAUUCUGCCAGUGCCAUUUUAAUCCCAGCAGUUCUAUAUUCUAAAUAUUUUAACCUUGGAGAACUUUCCCCAGGGCCUCUUACUUAGUUAGGUAUUGUUAUGUAGUCACACCAUAGCAUCAAUGAAGACAGGAUUGAUCCCUUCUUACUGUUCACAGGACUUGCCAAUAACUAAAUGAAACUGAUGUUAUUAAUAUAGAGAGGUAGUUUUCUAAAUUCCCAGGCAAAGAGGGGCAGGAGUGGGAGGUGAAGGCGGAGCAGAGAUCCCUCCAAAUUGCAGUUUAGGUGAUGGAUGUGGAGACUCCAUUUUUCUCUCUCUCUUCUCUUUCCUUCUCCGUUUAAUUCAACCUUUAAAUCUCAAGACAUACAUUUUCAGUCUUUCCACCUACAGCAAAGUCACAGACUGACAUUAUGUUUGCUGGGUAUGAAAGGUUUUGAAAACUUAGACCACCUGACGAAAAAAUCAUAAACAUCUAAAAACUCAAAUUUUUUACUUCUCAUGAAAAACUAGAGAAUCUGGCUACCCAAAGCUCAUACUCCAUCAAGGAAAUAACUGGCAGGUUUUCGGUAGUGGCAAAAGUUCUCCACUUAGGCAAGGUUCCAACUUUGCUUGUUUCCAUCAUUGUAUUAACAGCUAGGCCUUUAGGCAUUCAAGCUUGUAAUUCAUGGUACAAAGCAUAUCAUUUCCAUUAUUAUUUGUUCAUCAGCAAAUGCUUAUUGAGAAUCUCUGUUCUAAGAUCUGAAGCUACAGACAUAGUCCCUGCCCUCACAGCACUUAUAUUCUAGUGGGGAGAGGCAGAUAGUCACAAAUAAAAUCUAUUAUAAAAUGUUAGGUGAAAAGUAUUAUAAAGAAAAAUAAAGCAUGAUGAUUCAGACUAUACUACAUCUCCUUGGACACAUAGGGAGAUGAUACUUCUCUGCCCACUUGUAUUUUAGUUGGUUUUGGCCAGUGAAAUGUGAGUGGUCUGUGUCACGUCUGGAUUUAAGCAUUUAUUUGCUGGCCUUGACUCUCCACCUCACUUCACCUUGUCAUGGCAAGUUUGCUGGCUCAUACUGAUGAGAACUCAUGGAGGAUAACUGGCUGGAAGAAUUGCCCAGAUCGGCAGUAGAUUUCUAUUGGUGAUAAACCUUUUUUAAAAAGCCACUGACGUUUGGGGAGUAGUUGUUAAGGCACCAUAAUGUAUAUUAUCCUGACUGAAAGCACAGUAAGGAGUUAAGGGGUCAUAGGAGAGAGAUGCUGAAAUUGUAGAUUGGAUUCUUUCUGAGAAGGUGACGUUUGAUUGGAGUAAGUGGAUGUGCUGUUGGAAUAUGUAAAGGCAGACUAUUCCAGAUCAGGGAAUAGUAUAGUGCUGUGUAUAUUCUUGUAAGGUAGGCUCAAAAACUCAAUGAUUAUGGGGUUUCACUCCUCUUCUCCAAGUUUUUUACUAAAAUGAACAUACUAAAGUAAAUGGAAUAGUCUGUAAUUUUACUGCUAGCAUUUUGUUCCCCACCUAGAAUUUUGUGAUUGCUGUGACCUACUUUCUAUCUGAUUUCAGCCCAUGAUCAGGGAUUUCAGACUCCAUCAACACAUUCAUGUGAACUGUCAGCAGCAACAGGGCCAGACAGCUUUCAUCAAUAUGUGAAGAUUUGAGCUUAUUCCCAAAGGAACAAAAGACAGAAUAACAUGCUCUAUUUCAUUUGUUUCCAUUGGCCUGUGAUGAUUCUGUUUUAAAGAAACAUAUAAAGUAAAUCAGCUCAAAGAUAAAGGCAAUUUAAUGUGUUUUUCAGUCAUGAGAAUUGUCUUGGAUAUAUGCAAUUACUUUUUCUCUGUGUGUUAUACUGAUGUUCAAAUGAUACCAUGAAUAAGCAUUAUUUGCCUGUUCCCCAGUGCCAUCCAUUUAUCCAGUCUAUAAUAAUCUAAAUCCUGAUUUUUCUUUUUUAAACACACAAAAGUACAUGUUUUCUGUGUUCUCCUUUGUAUACUUUAACUCACUGUGGUGAACUUGAUGUUCUUGUGUGCUUUGGCCACCAGUUUAAAUAUGAACUGAUGAUAAUAGUGAUUAAGAUGGAGUGGGUUAACCUCAUUAGCCAUCUCUAACUUUUUCUUUCAUUUACUAUUCUCUUCAUUUCUGAAGACAUCUGAAUCUAGUCAUUUCUUGAUUGCAUAUUUAUUUCUGACUUGCAUUCCUGGAGCCCAAGAACUGUGUCCUCUUCCACCCUUUCCCUCAGCACCAUGUACCUGAACACAGGAAAUGUUAGAAUGCUAGAAGGUAGAGUGUAGAGUGUGUCACAUUGGAAGAAGUUCUAUGAAAGAUGAGGAAGAAGAUGUUGGUCUUGGCUUCCUGGAAGGGUGAAUGAGGAGGGAAAUGGGUUUUGUGGAACGGAAGGGAUUUUGGUGAACAGGGAGGAGGGCAGAGACAUUCCAAUGGUCAGAAACAAUCUACAUAAUGAAGAGUUACUCUCAGGGUAAGGAAAUAACCCAGACACUGCUCUCCAAGCUUUUGUCUAAUUCCUCCAAAAUUACAUAGAUUUAAAUCUUAAACUGGACCAGAAUAAGGGAGAAAGUGUAGGCCCUUUUGACUAGAGUUAUUUAUUUAUUAGUGGUCAAGAGAGUAAAAAUAGGGUAAAAAUAACCCUGAAUAGAGAAAAAAAGGGAAUAAGACAGCCAAUUUAUUAAAAUAGCAGAAGUAUGUGAAGCAGAUGGAGAAAAUGUAAACCUCCACAUGCUUAUCAAUAAUAUUUCUCCCAUGAGAGGAAAACAAGGACACAAGAGAAUGAAGAAGGUAAAGUAGACCUGUCUGGGAAUUUUUCCAUAUGUAAAAUAAGGAUACUAUUAUUUCAUUGUUUCAUAUUUGGGUUUUAUCCUGAAAUGUUAAACAAUAUUUCAUGAAACAGGAUAUGCUCUAAUGAAUAGCAUAGGUUAGCACUAUUUUUUUAGUAUUAUAAUAUUACAGAAUAAAAUAAAAUGUGGACUUUUUCUUGGCCUUUUGUCAUAGGGCCGAGAGAUUCACUUAAGUGCAUGAGAGCUUUAAAAAAAAUCAUAAACAUGGAGAACAAACUGAGGGUUACUGGAGGGGUUGUGGGAGGGGGUAUGGGCUAAAUGGGUAAGGGGCACUAAGGAAUCUACUCCUGAAAUCAUUGUUGCACUAUAUGCUAACUAAUUUGGAUGUAAAUUUUAAAAAAUGAAAAAUAAAGUUUGAAAAAAAAUCAAGUGCUCUGGAUGAGGCUUAGAUUCCAGUAGUUACACUAUUAUUUGAAUUAGGUCAACCAACCUGUUUUUCCUCUAACUCUUUACAAAAGUUGGUAGCAGUAUGGAACCUGAAGUUUUCAGAAGUGAGAGGACCCAGGAUGGGGAGAAAGAAUGGACAGUGGGAGAUGUGGAGGGCACCAGAGCAGGACACUGAGUAGUCAGAGGGCAGUAAGAUAGUGCUGGUCACCUUUGGUAAUAGGUUCCAAAAUUUGGGAAAGAUUUGCUAAAUGGAACAUGGGAGAGACAAAAAUAUCUUUAUACUUCACAAUUUGAUUUAGAGUAGAACUGAUUCCAGGACAGUUAGAAAAAUGGUUCAUGCAUCCAGAUGGCAAACAGACACGUGAAAAGACGCUCAACAUCACUCAUCAUCAGGGAAAUACAAAUCAGAUACCACCUCACACCUGUCUGAAUGGCUAAAAUUAACAACUCAGGAAACAGCAGAUGUUGGCAAGGAUGUGGAGAAAAGGGAACCCUCUUGCGCUGCUGGUGGGAAUGCAAACUGGUGCAGCCACUCUGGAAAAUUGUGGACGUUCCUCAAAAAAUUAAAAAUAGAACUACCCUAUGACACAGCAAUUGUACUACAAGGUAUUUAUCCAAAGGAUAUAGGAGUGCUGAUUAGAAGGGACACAUGCACCCCAGUGUGUAUAGCAGCACUAUCGACAAUAGCCAAUGUAUCAAAAGAGCACAAGUGUCCAUUGACUGAUGGGCAGAUAAAGACGUGGUUUAUAUAUGCAAUGGAACACUAUUUGGCCAUGAAGAGAAUGAAAUCUUGCCAUUUGCAACAACAUGGAUGGAACUGGAGAGUAUUAUGCUAAGCAAAAUAAGUCAGUCAGAGAAAGGCAGAUAUCACAUGAUUUUACUUAUAUGCGGAAUUUGAGAAACUUAACAGAUGUUCAUAGGGGAAGGGUAGGAAAAAUAAGAUAAAAUCAGAGAGGGAGGGAGGCAAACCAUAAGAAACUCUUAAAUACCGAGAACAAACUGAGGGUUGAUGGCGGUGGGGAAAUGGGUGACGGGCAUUAAGGAGAGCACUUGUUGGGAUGAACACUGGGUGUUACAUGUAAGUGAUGAAUCACUGGAUUCUACUCCUGAAACCAAAACUACACUGCAUGUUAACUAACUUGACAAUAAAAUAAAUAAAUAAAUAAAUAAGUACUUUAGCAAAAGAAAAAAAAUAAAAGUCAUUUUAUCAAAAAAAAAAGGGAAAGAAAAAAUUGUUCAUGAAUGAAAACUUGGGAAGGAGGUAGUACAAGCUAAAUCACGCCAGUGGUACAUGUCACAGCUAAGUGCAUAAGUGGUCCCUCAAUUUGAGAACUGCUAGGGGAAGGGAAGGGGAAAGAGAGAUAGGCAAGUGGGGAAAGGUUGGCCUCUUAGUUUUUGCUAUUAGUCUUAUCAUUUUCUGGGUUCACUCAGUAGUGGAUUCAGAGAAUCAAAAAAAUCCAGGCAUGUCAAGAAAGAACGACAAAUGGUAAUAUGGCAGUUAACGAGUAGUCAGUCACGCCAGCGUGCCAGUCUGCAGAGAAAAGCAGGGCUGAACCUCGGGGUCUGCUGGCUUUUGGCCUUGGACCUUUGCUCAGAUACGGGAGCCUGACAAAAAAGCUUCUUGGCAAACCGUCCUGCCAACCUCCCACUGCUAUGGUUUUACAUUUGUUUCUCUUGCUUAUAGCUUGAAUAUAUUAAAAAGUUUAAAUUUUUUUAAUGUUUAUUUUUGAGAGACAGACCAUGAGCAAGGGAGGGACAGAGAGAAAGAGGGACAAAGUAUCUGAAGGGGGCUCUGUGCUGACAGCAGCGAGUUGGUCACAGGGCUCAAACCCACAAACUGUGAGAUUAUGACCUGAGCCGGAGUUGGGUGCUCAACUGACUGAGCCACCCAGGCACCCCCUAAAAAGUUUACACUAAAUCAUGUAGCAUAGGGUGAAAACAAGUCACAUAAAGACCAUAAAUUUUUCAGGACUGGCAUUUUGUAAUUUUUAUAAGAGGAGAGACCUGCAUUUUGAAUUGCUUAUUAUCUGUCUUCACCUGUGUGGUCUCAUCUACAUCUUGGACUUGGUAAUGGUCAUAAAUAAAUGCAUCAUUUUCUUCCCAUGGCAGUUCUUUCUACAAGAUUCUCUGUUUCUUUAAUGAUACCCUCAAUUCUUCUUUCCAUUCCAAGAAUGGAAGUGCUAUUUAACAUCGCUGUUAUUGUCCCUGUGCCACUUUCACUCAUUUUCCAGGUCCUAUUGGUUCUUCCUCAAUACAUCUAUUAUGCUGCUCCUUCUGAUUGGCCCCAUGUCCUGAUGCUGGAUGUUUCUUGUAAGGGCACAGUUUAAAUUAAGUCAAUCCUCUGCAUAGUCCCCUGUUUAAAAUUUUGUCAUGGUCUCCAUUGACUAAGAGUCCAUUUAUACUCCCUCUUUACCUUUUUGUGCUAUUGUUGACACAUAUUUGACUUCCACAAACAUAAACAUAUACAUUUUUCAUUUUUCUUUAAACAUUUAAUUGACUUUUCAGAAAUUUAAUUUAAAAAGAAAAAUCUUUUAUAUCCAACUACAUGUUCAGCUAUCUUCAGUGUCUUCAUUCCUUUCUGUAAAUCCAAAUAUCUACCUAUUAUCAUUCCCCUUUAAUCUAAAUAUUUUGUUUUAGUAUUUCCUAUAGUGUUGCUUUGCUUGUGACAAAUCAUCUCAGUUUUUGUUCAUCUGAAAAUGUCUUCAUUUAACCUUAAUUUUGGAAAGAUACUUCACUGAUAAUGGACUUAAAAGAUAACUUUACAUUGUUUCCUGGUCUCCAUUAUUUUCUGAUGAAAAGUCAGUUAAUAUUUUAAUCUUUAUUCCCAUGUAUGUAAUAUGUCUUUUUUCCCCCUCUCUCAGUUAAGAUAUUUUUUCCCUUAACUUUGUUGUGCUUAGUUGUAUAUUCUGCAUUAGUUCACUGAGAUUCCUGGAUCAAUGGGUUGUUGUUUUUGAAUCAAAUUUGGAAAAACUUUGUCAUAUAUUUCUUCAAAUUUUUCUUUCUUAUUUCUACCCUUCCACAACUUUAGUUCUUUCUUGGACGCCAAAUACAUAAUUUUAGACCACUUGGUAUUGCCUUCACAGGUUGGUGAAGCUUUCUUGAUUAUUUUGCAAUUUUUUUUCCUCUCAGCUUCAGAUUGAAUGAUUUUAUUGACCUGUCUUCAACUUUAGUGGUCUUUUUUUCUGUUGUGUCCACUCAGCUGCCAAUCACAUCUAAUGAAUUUUUUUAAUGUAAGAUAAUGUAUUUUUCAGUUCUAGGCUUUCCAUUUUGUCCCUUCCUGUGGUUUUCAUAUCUUUUCUGAAAUUCCUAUUUCUUCACUAAUUAUAUUCAAUUUUUCAUUUAGGUCUCUUAGCAUAUUUUUCAUAGUUAAUUUUAAAUCCUUCUCAUAUAAUUUCAGAAUUUCCAUUAUUUAUGAAUCUGUUUCUUUUGACUAAUCCUCCUCUUGACUCUAGAUCACAUUUUUUUGUUUGUUUAUUUGUGCUUAAUAUUUAUUAUUCUAUAAUUAACACAAUGACUGAAACCUAGUAGAGAAAGUUAAUUCUGUCAUUUUCUUCUGGAAAGUGUUUUUUCCUGUUGAAUUUUGUUCCAGUCAGGAAUUAAAUUAUUGGCAUAUUAUCUUGAACAAAUGUUGAUUUGCCCUCAGUCCUGAAACAUGGGGCCUUUGGGAAGUAAUUAGGUCAUGAGAGUGAAGCUUUUAUGAUGAGAUUUGCACCCUUAGAAAAGGAGACAGAAGAGAGCUUGCUUCCCCCCCUCUACCUUCUCUGCCGUGUGAGGAUACAGAGAGAAGGUAGCUGUCUACAAGCCAGGACGCAGCUUCUUAUAAGAAGCCAACCAUGUUGGCAACCUGAUCUCAGACUUCUAGCCUCCAGAAGUGUAAGAAAUAAGUACUUGUUGUAAGCCAUCCAGUCUAUGGUAUAUUUGUUAUAGCAGCCUGAGCUGACUAAGACAGUGGAGAAGGCAUGGCUCUUCUGGAGAUUAUUGAUAGAUUGAACUUUUGGUAAGUCCCUCUAACUCCCAACUCUGGCUCUCCUACAUUGGGAAGCUGCUACAAUCUUUUCUUAGGUCUUUCAGCAUUCUCUAGGUGAUUUUUCUUUGUUCUUCCUGCUGAGUUUCUUGAAGUCUCCCCUCUCACAUGAACAGUUCAGCAGUCAGCCAAGAAUUAAGAGUAGUUUAUAUGCAGGUUUUGAGGUUCCCUUUCUGUAACUUCCUUCUCUCAGGGAUUUGACUCCUCAAUUUCUAGCCACUCUAUCAGUCCCAAACUCUCUUAUCUUCUGAUCCUAUAAUAAGACUAAGGUUUUGUUUCCAGCUCGGUGGAUCUGAAACUGCCUCCAGUGGCAAAGCCAUGGGUGGAUCUCAAUCAGUGUGGGUCCUUUUUGUCAAGACUCAAAGCUCUUUCAGUUUCUGCCUGCAUUUGAUUACUGCCCAGUGUUUCCAAACAGUUGGUUUCAAUUUUUUUGGUCAGAGUUUAUAACUGUAUACUUUGGGAGUGUUAGUCAAACGCAAGAUACUCUGCCAGUUGCAUAAAACCAGAAUCUUUCUAUUAACUAUGAAUGAAUUCAAAACUCCACAUCUGGCUUUUAAGAUUCUCUAGGAAAAAUCUCCACUGUCUUAGUCAGCUCAGGCUGCUAUAACAAAUAUACCAUAGACUGGAUGGCUUAAACAACAAAUGCUUAGCGCUUACACUUCUGGAGGCUAGAAGUCUCAGAUCAGGUUGCCAACAUGGUUGGCUUCUUAUAAGAAGCCGUUUCCUGGCUUGUAGACAGCUACCUUCUCUCUGUAUCCUCACACAGCAGAGAUGGUAGAGGGGGAAAGCAAGCUCUCUUCUGUCUCCUCUUCUAAAGGUACAAAUCUCAUCAUAAAGGCUUCACUCUCACGACCUAAUUACUUCCCAAAGGCCACAUCUCCACAUAACACCACUUUGGGAAUUAGGAUUUCAAUAUAUGAGUUUUGGAGGAAAACAAACUUUCAGUUCAUAGCACAAAUCUUCCUUUUUUACUCCAUCUUCCGCGUCUCCCUUUAUUCAUGCUCAAUUCCUGCCAAUUUGACACUUUGUGUUCUUCCCAAGUUUGUAUCUGGGCCUCUGCUUGUCUUUCCCCCUCUCUUCUUCUAUCUUAACAUGUCCAAAGCUAUUGUCAGAAUUCUUGUGAGCUACUAACUCUUCUCUGGUAGACUCAGGAGUCAGGCACAGAUUAAAAUGAUCGCUUUUAGUAUUGAUAAAGAAACUUGAAGAAAGAUGCUUUAAGGAUCUCUUACUGCAUGGCAGAAAAUAGACCAGAAUGUAAGAGUCAUGCAGAUGGGCUCUAGCUGAAGAGAAACCAGAAGGGGUCAAGCUGAGCAUGUUCCGUUUCUGCUCUCAAACUCACUAUUUAACUCUUAUGGGAGGAGUAAUGAGAGAGGAGACAGACCAGGAGUGUUCCUAUGGCUGAGGUUCUUCCAUGUGGAAGCAUGCAGAAAGGAGAGUAAAUGGCCUCUUCAUCCCCGCUCCCCAGAAUGUUAACCAGGACUCAAUUCUCAGUCAUCCUUUUGGCAAAUCCUCCACUGUGCACCUUCUACCUUGAUGUGGUCUCUCUGUGAAUGCUCAUUUUAACUUAUCUGAACUUUUUAAAUAGCACUUAUUCUACCUUGUAAGUAUAGUAAUUUAUCUAUUUCACUGUGACCUCUCCUCUUUUCUAGAAUCUCCUUAAAAUGGAGCUAUUUAUUACUAUUCAUGCUCUCAUAUUUCCCAAUUAUUAACACAGUAACUGACAAAUGGCAAGCCCUCCAUGAGUAUUUAUAGAAUGAGAAAAUGAGUAAGUGAAAUGAGCCAUGAAAAAAAAAAUGCAGGUAGCUUAACCCAAAUAAGUUCAGGCAAAGAGGGAUCUAAUCAUUUAAAGCAGAAUAGACCAAGCCAUAGUGGGAAUGAAAGAAUAUAUUUCUGUUUACAGUAGCUAAUUGCUUCUCACUGGAGAAGGUGGUAAUGACAUCACCAGCACAGAUACUGCUUACGACCAUUAUCUUCUACUUCACAGCGUGAGAGAUGUUCUAGCAGGUGCGCUGGAAUUGAACCCAUGGGACAUCUAACAGCACUUCUUGGAGCCUCAGCCAGCCUCUCUAGAGGUUUUAAACAUCUUAAAUUACAUAAGAAAUUAAAAUGAUGGAAAUGAAUGAAUUAAAAUGGGGAAUUGGGAUUCCUCUUGAAGGUUAAUUUGAGACUCUUUCUUAACUAUGUUUAUCGAAUUCUGAGUUCAGAAAUAAUUAUUCAUUUUUACCUUUAUCCUUAGGUACUAUCAAAGAAUAUACUGGGAAGAAAGUUGUGAGUCAAAAAGUAAUUUUUACUGUCCCCUGUGACAGAAUUGUUACAUACUGUGAGCCUCUUAAGAAUUUUUAGGAAUUGUAAAUAUGAGAUAUAAUUCUUCUUUUUGUACUUAAGUCAGUGAAGUAUUCCGUCCCAAAUGAAGGCUUAUAAUAUGUUUUUCUUUUUGUAUUAUAAAGUUAAAUAUAAGGAUGAACAAAAUAAGAAAAAAAAUACUCUAAUCUCACCACUAGCAAUAACCAGUCUUAAUGUUUUGAUAUCUAGCUCUUCAUCAUUUUUCUAUGCAUACGUGUGUACAGCUAGCCAUGUAUGCACCUAUAUACACAUUUAGGAAAAUUAUAGCACAUAACUCUCUAGUUAAUUAACUUUUUAUUUUAUAAUGGUUUUAGAUUUAUAGAAAAGUUGAAGUUGUGAAGAUACUGCAGAUAUAACCCAUACCAGUUUUCCCAUUAUAUACUAAUAUUACAUAAUUAAUAUUACAUAUUAACAUAAGUUACUAAUGCCACAUAUCUAAUAAACCAAUUUGGUACACUGUUAUUAUUGAUACCAAUAUGAAUAUAUUAUCACUAACUAAAAUCUGUGAUUUAUUCAGACUUCUCUGGUUUUUACUUAAUAUUCUGUUUUUGUUCCAGGAUUCCAUCUACGAUACUACAUUACAUUCAGUUGCCAUCUUGCUUGGGCUUCUUGGACAGUAACUAUUUUUUAAACUUCUGCAUUCCUGGUGACAGUUUUGAGGAGUAUGUGCCACCUGGCCCACAGGAAAGUUACUCUUUUUCAGUAUGCAAGUGUUCUGAUUUCUCUACAUCCCCACCAAUACUUGUCUUUAAUUGGGUUGUGUUUUCUUAUUGUUGGGUUUUGUGAGGUUUUUGUACAUUUGGGAUAGAAGUACUUUAUCCAAUAUGUGAUAUUUGGCCUUUUUACCUUUUUAAUCAUAUCUUUUUCAGCAUAUGGUCUUUUACCUUGCUUUUUUAUUCACUCAACAAUAGGUCAUUAGCAUCUUUCCAUAUCAUUCUUCUGUAAUGUCACUUUUUAAUGGCUAUAAAUUACUGUAUUUUAUAAAUGUAACAUACAAUGUAUUAUUAUUGAACAAAUAUUUAGAUGGAUUUCAGUUUUUUAUUCUUACCAAAAAAGAGAAAACAGUGGUGGAUACUCUUAUAACUAGAUAUUCUGUUAAUAUUUACUUAAGAUAAAUGUCUUUAAGUUAAAAUUCUAUAUCCAAAGGUAUCAACAUUUUCUUUGUAUUAAGCUUAUUUAUUUAUUUUGAGAGACACAGAGAGCAAGUGGGGUAGGGGAGAAAGGGAGAGAGAGAAUUCCAAGCAGGCUCCUCACUGUCAGCUGGAGUCUGCUGCGGGGGUCGAACUCAUGAACUGUGAGAUCAUGACCUGAGCUGAAACCAAGAGUCGAACACUCAACCAACUGAGCCACCCAGAUACCCCAAAGGUAACAACAUUUUAAAGACUUUUGAUGGGACUGAUUGUCUUUUUUCCUGACUUCCAUCCUUAUAAAGCAUUUCAUUUCUUCUCUAGGUUAGAAUCAGAGGUAGGACACAAGUGCAUUUUGAAGUAUCAGAUGCUCUGAUAACUAGUAUGUUAAACACACAUAGAUCUGAGACAUCGGAUGCAUUCAGCCUCAAGGGAGACCUUCAUCCUACUCUUUCCACAAACGCUUCCAUUUGUUUCAGUUCAUAUUCUAUACUUUAAUUUAGGCCUCAUGUCCUCUAGGAAACCUGCCUACUAGUCCUCCCAUCUUGUUGAUGACUCCAAGUGAAGGUGCUUAAUGAGGCAAUCUGGAUGGUGUGUGUCCAAUUCCUCAGUUUGUGGAGUUAUCUGGGGUCCCUGUGGGAAUGGUCUUGGCCCCUUUGCUCAACAUUUCUUUCUCUCCUUUCUCAAGCUGGGUUCGUGUCCAUCCGCUGCAUUCCCUUGGCAUCGAAUCUUAG